Molecule: ribosomal RNA, 253 nt
Filed under: uncultured bacterium
Lineage: Bacteria
Description: partial 16S ribosomal RNA
Rfam family: Bacterial small subunit ribosomal RNA
Source: RNAcentral
UACGUAGGGGGCAAGCGUUGUCCGGAAUCAUUGGGCGUGAAGCGCGUGUAGGCGGUUCAGUAAGUCUGCUGUGAAAGUCCAGGGCUCAACCCUGGGAUGCCGGUGGAUACUGCUGGACUAGAGUGCGGAAGAGGCGAGUGGAAUUCCCGGUGUAGCGGUGAAAUGCGCAGAUAUCGGGAGGAACACCAAUUGCGAAGGCAGCUCGCUGGGACGUUACUGACGCUGAGACGCGAAAGCGUGGGGAGCAAACAGG